Molecule: ribosomal RNA, 1271 nt
Filed under: metagenome
Description: bacterial LSU rRNA
Rfam family: Bacterial large subunit ribosomal RNA
Source: RNAcentral
AAUUAACAGGUGUGACGCAGGAAGGUAGUUGAUCCCGGGCGAUGGUUGUCCCGGGCUAAGCAUGUAGCCCGAACCGUAGGCAAAUCCGCGGUUCAUUUAAGGGUGAGAUGUGAUGGGGACCCGUAAGGGGAAGUCAGUGAUCCUAUGCUGCCAAGAAAAGCAUCGACGCGAGGUUUUAGCCGCCCGUACCCCAAACCGACACAGGUGGUCAGGUAGAGAAUACUAAGGAGAUCGAGAGAAUCAUGGUGAAGGAACUCGGCAAAAUGCCCCCGUAACUUCGGGAGAAGGGGGGCCAUCCACUUAUACGGAUUUACUCCGGAAAGGGUGUGGUGGCCGCAGAGACCAGUGGGAAGCGACUGUUUACUAAAAACACAGGUCCGUGCGAACAAGCAAUUGGAUGUAUACGGACUGACGCCUCCCCGGUGCUGGAAGGUUAAGAGGAGAGGUCAACCCUUCGGGGUGAAGCUUUGAAUUUAAGCCCCAGUAAACGGCGGUGGUAACUAUAACCAUCCUAAGGUAGCGAAAUUCCUUGUCGGGUAAGUUCCGACCUGCACGAAUGGCGUAACGACUUCCCAGCUGUCUCCACCAUGAACUCGGCGAAAUUGCACUACGAGUAAAGAUGCUCGUUACGCGCAGAAGGACGGAAAGACCCCGUGACCUUUACUACAGCUUGGUAUUGGUGUUCGGUGUGGCUUGUGUAGGAUAGGUGGGAGACUGUGAAGCAGGGACGCUAGUUCUUGUGGAGUCAUCGUUGAAAUACCACUCUGGUCAUAUUGGAUAUCUAACUACGGACCCUGAUCGGGUUCUGGGACAGUGCCUGGUGGGUAGUUUAACUGGGGCGGUUGCCUCCUAAAGAGUAACGGAGGCGCCCAAAGGUUCCCUCAACCUGGUUGGCAAUCAGGUGGCGAGUGUAAGUGCACAAGGGAGCUUGACUGUGAGACUGACAGGUCGAGCAGGGACGAAAGUCGGGACUAGUGAUCCGGCAGUGGCUUGUGGAAGCGCUGUCGCUCAACGGAUAAAAGGUACCUCGGGGAUAACAGGCUGAUCUUGCCCAAGAGUCCAUAUCGACGGCAUGGUUUGGCACCUCGAUGUCGGCUCGUCGCAUCCUGGGGCUGGAGUAGGUCCCAAGGGUUGGGCUGUUCGCCCAUUAAAGCGGUACGCGAGCUGGGUUUAGAACGUCGUGAGACAGUUCGGUCCCUAUCCUCUGCGCGCGUUGGAAAUUUGAGAGGAUCUGACCCUAGUACGAGAGGACCGGGUUGGACGGACCUCUG